UCCUACGGGGGGCAGCAAUUAGGAAUCUUGCGCAAUGGGCGAAAGCCUGACGCAGCGACGUCGCGUGACCGAUGAAGUCUUUCGGGAUGUAAAGGUCUUUUUUGGGGGAAGAAGGAUGUGACGGUACCCCAAGAAUAAGCCCCGGCUAACUACGUGCCAGCAGCCGCGGUAAUACGUAGGGGGCGAGCGUUGUCCGAAUUCACUGGGCGUAAAGCGCGCGUAGGCGGGUUAUUAAGUUGAUGGUGAAAUCCCGGGGCUCAACCUCGGAACUGCCUUCAAAACUGGUAGCCUUGAGGUAUGAAGAGGGAAGUGGAAUUCCAGGUGUAGCGGUGAAAUGCGUAGAUAUCUGGAGGAACACCUGUGGCGAAGGCGGCUUCCUGGUCAUAUCCUGACGCUGAGGUGCGAAAGCCAGGGGAGCGAACGGGAUUAGAUACCCUGGU
Molecule: ribosomal RNA, 440 nt
Filed under: uncultured bacterium
Lineage: Bacteria
Description: bacterial SSU rRNA
Rfam family: Bacterial small subunit ribosomal RNA
Source: RNAcentral